RNAcentral lists this ribosomal RNA (157 nucleotides) under Cryptostylis subulata. RNAcentral describes it as "5.8S ribosomal RNA". The stretch from base 1 to 134 matches the Rfam family "5.8S ribosomal RNA", at positions 23 to 154 of the family's 154-position model. From Rfam's summary of the family: 5.8S ribosomal RNA (5.8S rRNA) is a component of the large subunit of the eukaryotic ribosome. It is transcribed by RNA polymerase I as part of the 45S precursor that also contains 18S and 28S rRNA. The record is from RNAcentral. Lineage: Eukaryota; Viridiplantae; Streptophyta; Magnoliopsida; Asparagales; Orchidaceae.
GGCUCUUGCAUCGAUGAAGAGCGCAGUGAAAUGCGAUAUGUGGUGUGAAUUGCAGGAUCCCGUGAACCAUCGAGUUUUCGAACGCAAGUUGCGCCUGAGGUCGACUGGCCGAGGGCACGUCCGCCUGGGCGUCAUGCAUUAUGUCUCGCUUUGUCCA